Molecule: long non-coding RNA, 691 nt
Organism: Dermacentor silvarum
Lineage: Eukaryota; Metazoa; Arthropoda; Arachnida; Ixodida; Ixodidae
Exons: 3
Source: RefSeq, a predicted model, not a curated record
AAGUUGGUUUGAUUCCAAACUCCUGACGUCAAAAUGACGUCGCAGAACAUGCGUAUGGGGGCGGGACACGACGACGUUUUUCAAACAGGUCAAUCAGCAGCCUCCAUCUUUGCCGGAACCACGCUUUGCUUGUUUUUUACUCCUAAAGGGACCGUAUAGCAACUUUAUGUUAGAUAGAAACGCCUAAUAAAUAGAUCAUUGUUUCUCGCUGACAUUAAAAUUGUUUUGUAAUGUUUUGACGCGCAAGUGGCUGAAGCGCAUUUCCGAUUAAUUGCAAGUAUUCGCAUUUUUCGAGCCGUAGUCACACACGUGUCGAUUCCGCAUCCGGGCCAGUUCGAGCCAUUUCGCUGUGCACAGGUAAGAUGGCGGCUAUGUAGAAGCAGCUGAUCAGUGCCGUGGCCCGCAUUUAGUGUACCUUUGCCCGUCACGCUGCACGAUUAGAUGAGUCUCGGCCUCCGUGGUGUGCUUUCGCCCGAGAAGAAUUUCGGAAGCUGUGAACAUCAUGGAAGCCGUGAAAGCGAAGCGCAAGGAUAACCAAGAAUCGAUGAAGGUUGGAAAGCAGUACAUCGCAACAGAUACUGAAAAACCGGAGGUGGCAGGUUGGGCGGGCUGGAGGGCCGCGUCAUGGACGCUUUGAGCCGGACCGGCCCAGGCUACGCGCCGGUGGAUUUUUACGCCGAUGACGCCGAGG